UAAUUGACAAAGGUAUAUCAACAUGUGAAUAAAUGCCAUGAUUAUCCAAGUGGGGACACUUGUAUAACCAUUUAGAAAUCAACUUAACAGAAUAUAUAUCUGAGCUAACAUGUUGAUAAUCAAAGCGUACAUAAUCUGUACAGGAAUAGAAUAAUUCUGAAACUUCUUACUCAUGUCCAUUGCAUAAAGGAAAUGCAAAGGUAAGAUACUUGCCUGAUUCGCUGAUUACAAAUCUCAACUUAGGUUUUAUCUCUUUAUCACAACCUAUCAAUAAUCAGAUCAUUCGUUCGAUUAGAACAAUAUAUCAUAACACAUAGUACUGUCUAUUACAGUCAGCACAUAGUCUAAUCACGUCAUCACAUAAUCGCAGUGAUCAUACUUUUAGUUCAUAUUCUAUACUUGAAAUAUUUUUAUACAUUUUUCAAAUAUCUCAUCCAUGCUCUUACAGAAGUCUUUUCUUUCUAUUAUAGGGUCUGACAUUUGUCGGCGUACCGACAGCUUUAUCGGGUAAAUACUGAGUCUAAGACUCUUAUCCUAUACCUCAACAUCUGUAAAUAUCAAACAUUUUAUUUUUAAUCAUUUUCGAAUUUUCCAGAAAUUGAAAAAUUUAAAAUAAUUCAAAUCUGUCACUACCGGGCCUAUAGUGAUAUAACUGUUACUAUAGGUGUUCCUCAAAACUUCAUAACUUCAUAAUCGGUUCUCAAGUCAGCUAGUUUGGCCGGCUAUAACUUUCAAACAUCGGAAUCAUAAUUAAAUGAUUUAAACAUUAAACAAUUCCAUUAUCAUUAAUAAUUAAUUUAUAUUAAACUAUUAAUGAAACCAUUGCCAAAAUAUAAAAGUUAUUUAUAAUAACUCAAACUAUUUUUAAAACAUUUAUAUUACCCUUAAAUGAUUUUUAAAACAAUUAAAAUCAUUUUUAAAUAAUCACCAUUAAUAUAUAAAUAUUAAUGUACUAUUCAUCCAAAUAUUAAAAGUCAUUAAUUAUAACUUAAAAUAUUUUUAAAUCCUUAAUAUCCUCUUUAAAUGAUUUUUAAAUAAAUAAAACCAUUUUUAAACUAUUUAUUUAAUAAUAAUUAUUAAAUAAACUAAAUAUCAUUAAUAUUAUCUUAAUAUCAUUAAUAUUAAAUUAUUAAUGAAAUUAUCCUUUAAAUAUUAAAAGUUAUAUUUUAUAACUUAAAAUAUUUUUAAAUACCUUAAUUUCAUUUAAAAUGAUUUUUAUAAUAUUAAAAUCAUUUUUAAACUAAAUUAUUUAAUAUAAUCAUUAAAUAACUUUAAUAUCAUUAAUAUAUAAUUAAUUAAUGAAAUUCAUCACAAAAUAUUAAAAGUCAUGGAAAAUAACUCAAAAUAUUUUCUUAUACCAUAAAAUAAUUUUUCAUGAUUUUUCAUGAAUUAAAACUAUUUUUAAAUCAUUUAUUUAAUAUUAUAAUUAAAUAAAUAAAUACCUUUUAUAUUCCAAAAAUAUUAAAUAUUUAUGAAAUAUACUCAAAAUAAUUAAAAACUAUUUUUCAGACUUUAAAAUAAUUUUUCAUAAUUUAUUUGGUAUUUUUAAUAAUUAAAAUCUAAUUUUUCUAAUUUUUAAAUCAUUUUUCGGAAAAUCAGAAAUUAAAAUAAUUAAAACUGUCGCUAAAGGCCCCUAUAGUGACAGAAGUGUCGCUAUAGGUGUUCUUGAGCCUACCCAGAUCUUCAUAAGGCAGAACCGAGUGGCCUACUUUGACCGUGAAUAACUCUCUCAUCUUAACGAAUUUGGACAAUCUAUAAAUUGGGUCUUGUAGAGGAAAUACAAGACUACAAGAUCCAACAAUCAUAACCUCUAAACAAACAUCAGAUCUGGGAUAAAUCAGCCAUCAAAGUAGCUACCAAAGCUGUUCUUCACGAAGAACAGUUCGAGGUGCCUACUUUGGACCUCUAUAACUUGAUGAUCGUGUAACGUUUAUGUGAUCUAUCAAUUCCAGUGUGUAGACAACAUGUAGGACUACAACUCUAACACUUAACAUCAUCAUAAAAACAAGAAAUCAAGCAUCUAAAGUAUGGUCAAACCUUGUCAGAAAAAUUAACACUUAGAAAAUUCUGGGCUGCCCAGAAUUUUCUGGUCAAUGCCGGUCAACCCACUUUGACCUUAAAUAACUCUUAAUCCGUAAUAUAUAUGGACCUGAUUCUUUUUGGAGGUUAAAUACCACAUAACAAGCUACACAUAUCAACCUUUAGAACACAAAACACAUUAAAUAUGACCGAGAUAUAAGGCCUGACAUUUGCCAAAAAAAAAUUUCUGGACACUUAGAAUAUUUUCUGGGUUUGAAAAACAGCCGGUCAAUGCCGGUCAACCCACUUUGACCGCUUAUAAAUCCCGAUAUACAAUAGAUAUAGACCUAAUUACUUUUGGAGUUUAAAGAACACAUAUCAGGCUACCUAUAACAACUUUUAAACAACAAAACGCGAGAUCUAACAAAGAGUUAUAGCCUCUGACAUUUGGUGAAAAAUAACAGAAUUCGAUUUUUCCAACUUGUUUUAAAUCUUCAAAUUCAUGCACUUUGAUGUUAUGGGUCUGUGUUUUUACAACCCAGAACAUUAAUAGACUCUCUAUUACACUACUUUAAACAAUCAAUUGCAUCAAUUAACAUCGAAUCGAAGGAUUUCAAAAUUAGGGAAUUUACCACUUUUUGGAGCUUUGAUUCUUGGAUUUCUGACUUUGAUCUUGUGUUUUUGAUGCUUGUGAUCGUGGGGCUGUACUUAGGAGUGUAUGGGCAAGUGUUUUUGGGAGCUAAGAGGUUGAGAGAGCAUAGCUAGAAGAGUUGGGGCAAUUUUAGUGUACAAAAAAUGCUAACUCUCUCCAAUCUAUGUAUAGAAUAAUUCAAAUGCCUUGGAUGCUAGAUUGGUUGAUUGAAUCUGAGCAUAAUUGAGUCUUGGAUGCUCAAUUGGUAGGGUAGUGAUGUUGGCCAUGAUUUGUUGCUAGAUUCCUACAAUAAUACACUAAUAAUACACUAAAUGGACAAAAAGGGCAUUUUAGUCAUUUCCACACUAAUAAUUGGUUUCUUCCUUUAAUAAUGCACAUGGGUAGUUUAGACUUCUCAUGUCUACCAUGAAGGGCAUUAUAGACAUUAUCCAUAACCAUUAGGGUUUAUCACUUUAGAUUUUAAAAUUCCAUAAAAAAUAUAACUAAUAAUACACUAAAAGGGUAUUUUGGUAAUUUCCCAUAUAAUUUCAUGGGCAUUUUUGUACAUAGCAAUUAAAUGUAGUAUUUAAUCACUAGAUGGUAAUUCUUAUCAUUUACCAAUUACUUUCUAUCCUUUGGUAAAUUAAAACAUUUAUACAAUAACAUCGUAAUUAAACCCAAUAAUUUUAAAUUAGGGUUUUGAUUGAAAAAUUAGGGUUUUCUAAUUAGGAUUUCUUAACGCCGUCAAUUAGGGUUUCCAAUUGACCAUUAGGAUUCUCUAAUUAUAUGUGUAUGUUCUAACACAAUCAUUACAAUCUCUAACUUCAACCGAUUAGGGUUGUAAUAAUUAGGGUUUGUCCUAAUUAUCGACAAACAACAGUAAUUAGGGUUUUCUUCUAAUUACCGACAUCUUAUACACAGUAACCUUCAUAUACANN
This 3588-nucleotide long non-coding RNA is filed under the name Panax ginseng (ginseng). RNAcentral describes it as "long non-coding RNA (PGIN_LNC007017)". The record is from RNAcentral. Lineage: Eukaryota; Viridiplantae; Streptophyta; Magnoliopsida; Apiales; Araliaceae.